This is a long non-coding RNA of Equus caballus (horse), 1773 nucleotides long. NCBI's taxonomy places the organism in Eukaryota, Metazoa, Chordata, Mammalia, Perissodactyla, Equidae. The record is from Ensembl.
CUGGAUCAUCCCAUCAUUGCCGUCUCUGUUUAAAAGUCAUACAGCGGCUUGUCUGGUGGCAUAGUCGUUAAGUUCCUGUGCUCUGCUUCAGCGGCCUGGGGUUCACAAGUUCAGAUCCCGGGCACAGACCUACACACUGCUCAUCAAGCCAUGCUGUGGCAGUGUCCCAUACACAAAUUUAUAGCACAUAUUGACUUUGUUCACUUCUUUGCUCUGUCCCUCCGACUGGAAUCUAAGCUCCUGACGGUAAGAACCAGCACAGUGCCAGCAUUCAGUCGAGGUUCAAAAAACAUUUGAAAGGUGAAUUAGUUGAUUGUGACUGGGAGAAACAAAGAAAGAUAAUUCAGUAUAAAAUAAAAAGUUCUUAGCCAUUGCCCUGGGAACUUUCCCACCACUUUCAAGUCACGUUUUUUAUUGUGAUCAGUAGAUAACUGAAAUAAAUUAGUUGAAUACUGAAAAAGUAUUGACCAAGUGUUCCAGCCACGACACGGGCUUUAUCUGAGUGCGGGGUUUGUAAGAAUUCCUUCAGAGGCUACGAGGGGAACUGGCGGGGGGUGCAGUGGGCAGGGAGCAGAUGGCUUCCCCUCCCGCCUGCAUGCUUGCUUCAACUGUUCUCAUUUGUUUUAUGCAGCUUUUUUUGGGGAAAGAAAUAGCUUCUUUUUUUUUCAAGUUUGAGAAUCACUGAUCUACAGAUAAGCAAACAGCUCAUCAGAUUUUUUUUCUUAAAUAUUUGUCUAAGCGGCUAUUCUCUUACAGUAAAAAUAAUUAAUUGCUCUUUGGCAUUGCCCUCCUGAUAAUGAGAGCUAAUUUGCAUCCUCGCUCUUACCUUGAAAAGUUCAGUUGAGUUUUAAGAGUAAAGCACUCAUUUGGUUGGUUGUUUUUUUUUAAUUUUGUUUUUGAGGUGACACUGGUUUCUAACAUUAUAUAAAUUUCAGGCAUACAUCACACUUUGAUUUCUGUGAAGACUAUGUUGUGUUCACCACCCAAAGUCUAAUUGCCAUCUGAUAAAUCCUAACUUAAAAACCACUUUCAAUCAACAUUAUGGAUUUGUAAAUUCACCCUCAUGUCUGGAUCCCAACCACUUCAAAGGGUGUCACACAGAACUGGAGUCACACGGAAUCGGGCGUGAAAUGACCCUGGUGAUUUCUCAGGUGUGAUCCCGGGUAAGUCAUUUCUUUGUUUCUUACCUGCAAAAAAGGGACAAUGACACCUAUUUCACAGGGUUGUUGGGAGCAUUAUGCAAAAGCACCUUGCACACAGCAGGUGCCAAAUAAAUGGUGGUUUCUUUCCGUCAAAUAGUAUAUUCAAACUUUUUUCAAGGAUUUGUUGUACCACUUUCUCUAAUUUCAACUUUCUUAUGCUGAAGAAGGCUGGUAUUCUAUUUAUUACUCAGUAAAAUUAAAAUUUUGCUUAUAUUUUGCUUUCUGUAUAUGCCUCAAAUUAUCUCAAGUUAUUUCAAAUCAGUAAGAGGCUAAAGGUCUUUCUAAAAACAUAACUAAAAGAGGCUAAAUAAUAAAUGACAUAUCUCAAAGAAUAUAUAUUUCCUAUCUUGAUUUACACAUGACCUUUUGAAACUGGCAUACACGUCAUCAGCGGGCGUAAUGCCCUAUCAACAGAUGGAUGUGAUCGCUCAGGUGCCAGAAAUCCGGGCUGGCCACAGCUCACGUAGUGUUAAAAUGGUGACAGUUCUUGUAAUUGGUCAUCUGUUCCCAGUAAUAAGUCUACUAGAAAUAGAAAACAAAUUCUGAAGUACAUGAAUGUUUAUUCAAUCUU